This 277-nucleotide long non-coding RNA is filed under the name Rhopalosiphum maidis (corn leaf aphid). Its description in RNAcentral is "uncharacterized LOC113559056". The record is from RNAcentral. Lineage: Eukaryota; Metazoa; Arthropoda; Insecta; Hemiptera; Aphididae.
CAACAUCCUACGUUGAAAAUGGACUAGACGAUACUGAUAAUAAUAAUGGUUUUAUGCAAAAUUGCAGUGCAACAGAUCACUCAACGGUUGCUGAGCAUGAAUUAACAUUUUUAGCGCUUGGAAUAGUUUCAACAUCCUAUGUUUAAUAUGGAUUAGAAGAUUGCAGUACAGCAGAUCUUUCAAGCCAUGAUGAAACAUGAAUUACCGUUUUUAGCACUUGGGAAAAUUUGGACAUCCCAUGUUGAAAUUUGACUAGACAAUACUGAUAAUAAUAAUA